This is a long non-coding RNA of Impatiens glandulifera, 1090 nucleotides long. RefSeq lists it as uncharacterized. The record is from RefSeq and is a predicted model, not a curated record. The transcript is spliced from 3 exons. Lineage: Eukaryota; Viridiplantae; Streptophyta; Magnoliopsida; Ericales; Balsaminaceae.
UUUCCUUAUGUCAUGAUCGAUUCUGUUUUGUUCGCGAAGAGGAGCACGGAGAUGAUCUUUACAAGUCAAAUCUCAGAUUCUUUUGUCCUAGAUCCAGGUUAUAGAGACAUCUUUCAAUGUUAAAUGUUAUGAUCUGUUGACUCAUGUUUAUCGGAUGGUUCGUGAGAUGUAGAUCCAAUUGAAAGAAAGAGGUCCUGUCUUGGGCGAUCAUCAAUCAUCAUAGCGGCGUUUAAGCGUUGACUCUGUGUUUGUUUGAACACACAAUGCAGCUUCGGUGGUGGUAUAUGCUAAAUUCGAUUCAUCCGAUCUUCGGUUUGUCUUCUUGCGAAAUUAUGAAGCAAUUCAAUGAAUUAAGGAACUGGUGCACGCCUUCAUCAAUUAAUACCAUAUUACCAAUUAGCGAGUCCCAAUGAGAAGUAAGGCUUGAAGGAUAAAUGUGAGAAGUUUUGGAAGAUUUAAAGAUGAUGCUGGACGUGGAUGUUCUAUUAGAUAUGGUUGUUCCACGGUUGUGUUCUAUAUGAUCUUUUGUGUUCCUCGGACCUUUGCCAUGUCAGGUGCGCUUGCUUGGCAGGUCAAUCAUAUAAUAAAAGUGUCUUUCUUUUUGUGGAGGGAGAUCGCAUGGGGAUUGCCCAGGGUCUCUGCCUUCACCGUGUUUUGCGUGUGUGUGUGUGUUUUAUUCUGUCUCUUCCUUUACCGUCUUACUGUCCUGCGAAUCCGAUCAACAUUCACUAGCACCAUCUGCAUGCAUUCACUCUCCAAUUACCUACAGAUAAGAUUAAUUUUAACGCCAUCAUGCUUCAAUAUCUGGAAGGUAAUAACAUUUAACAUUGUACGAUUCUAAAUCAAAUACAUUAAUGCCAUUGAUAUCUCUUAUAACGAUGUUGAAAUAUGUUGUGUAUUAAGAGUCCUCUCUUCUAAAUCAAGAUUUCUGUGGGUUGGUAUAAGAUUACCUCCACUUGGUUCCAUUGGUGGUAUGUAAUCAAAAACUUGUUUCAGUUAUAAUCUUCAAACAUGUGAAUCUUUUAAUAAGUUGUAAAUGAACAAGCUUGAAAAGGGUUUCUGUAAUAAGAAUAUCUGCUUGCCUAAUUGG